GCUUCCGUAGCUCAGUUGGUUAGAGCGUCGUACUAAUACUUCAGUUUCCGCUGUAAUAUCGGUAAUGCGAAGGUCUCAGGUUCAAGCCCUGGCGGGAGCA
This 100-nucleotide transfer RNA is filed under the name Fusarium solani. It matches the Rfam family "tRNA". From Rfam's summary of the family: Transfer RNA (tRNA) molecules are approximately 80 nucleotides in length. Their secondary structure includes four short double-helical elements and three loops (D, anti-codon, and T loops). Lineage: Eukaryota; Fungi; Ascomycota; Sordariomycetes; Hypocreales; Nectriaceae. The record is from Rfam by way of RNAcentral.